This 541-nucleotide ribosomal RNA is filed under the name Saccharomyces cerevisiae (brewer's yeast). RNAcentral's name for it is "partial large subunit ribosomal RNA". It matches the Rfam family "Eukaryotic large subunit ribosomal RNA", at positions 72 to 627 of the family's 3401-position model. Lineage: Eukaryota; Fungi; Ascomycota; Saccharomycetes; Saccharomycetales; Saccharomycetaceae. The record is from RNAcentral.
GGAUUGCCUUAGUAACGGCGAGUGAAGCGGCAAAAGCUCAAAUUUGAAAUCUGGUACCUUCGGUGCCCGAGUUGUAAUUUGGAGAGGGCAACUUUGGGGCCGUUCCUUGUCUAUGUUCCUUGGAACAGGACGUCAUAGAGGGUGAGAAUCCCGUGUGGCGAGGAGUGCGGUUCUUUGUAAAGUGCCUUCGAAGAGUCGAGUUGUUUGGGAAUGCAGCUCUAAGUGGGUGGUAAAUUCCAUCUAAAGCUAAAUAUUGGCGAGAGACCGAUAGCGAACAAGUACAGUGAUGGAAAGAUGAAAAGAACUUUGAAAAGAGAGUGAAAAAGUACGUGAAAUUGUUGAAAGGGAAGGGCAUUUGAUCAGACAUGGUGUUUUGUGCCCUCUGCUCCUUGUGGGUAGGGGAAUCUCGCAUUUCACUGGGCCAGCAUCAGUUUUGGUGGCAGGAUAAAUCCAUAGGAAUGUAGCUUGCCUCGGUAAGUAUUAUAGCCUGUGGGAAUACUGCCAGCUGGGACUGAGGACUGCGACGUAAGUCAAGGAUGCU